CCCUGGUUAGCUCAGUUGGUAGAGCGCUCCACUGGUGAUGGAGAGGUCCCUUGUUCAAUACCAGGACCGGGCA
Ixodes scapularis (black-legged tick) is the source of this 73-nucleotide non-coding RNA. Lineage: Eukaryota; Metazoa; Arthropoda; Arachnida; Ixodida; Ixodidae. The record is from the annotation of a RefSeq genome assembly.